RNAcentral lists this ribosomal RNA (497 nucleotides) under uncultured bacterium. Its description in RNAcentral is "partial 16S ribosomal RNA". It matches the Rfam family "Bacterial small subunit ribosomal RNA", at positions 28 to 507 of the family's 1533-position model. The record is from RNAcentral.
GAUGAACGCUGGCGGCGUGCCUAAUACAUGCCAGUCGAGCGAACAGAUGAGGAGCUUGCUCCUCUGACGUUAGCGGCGGACGGGUGAGUAACACGUGGAUAACCUACCUAUAAGACUGGGAUAACUUCGGGAAACCGGAGCUAAUACCGGAUAACAUAUUGAACCGCAUGGUUCAAUAGUGAAAGACGGUUUUGCUGUCACUUAUAGAUGGAUCCGCGCCGCAUUAGCUAGUUGGUAAGGUAACGGCUUACCAAGGCAACGAUGCGUAGCCGACCUGAGAGGGUGAUCGGCCACACUGGAACUGAGACACGGUCCAGACUCCUACGGGAGGCAGCAGUAGGGAAUCUUCCGCAAUGGGCGAAAGCCUGACGGAGCAACGCCGCGUGAGUGAUGAAGGUCUUCGGAUCGUAAAACUCUGUUAUUAGGGAAGAACAAAUGUGUAAGUAACUAUGCACGUCUUGACGGUACCUAAUCAGAAAGCCACGGCUAACUACGUG